Molecule: long non-coding RNA, 2492 nt
Organism: Myotis davidii
Lineage: Eukaryota; Metazoa; Chordata; Mammalia; Chiroptera; Vespertilionidae
Exons: 9
Source: RefSeq, a predicted model, not a curated record
UGCCUGUGAUUCAACAAACAAACCAAACUAUGCCUAAAAUAAAGAUUAUUUACAGAGAGAAGAAAACUAGGUCUUCCACUAUUUUGCUUUCAAUUCUUGCAUCUUGGAUUAAGAAAACCUCUCUACUUUGAGCGGGAGUUCAACUGACCGGGAGUUAGACAUGCACUGGCCACCAGGGGGCGGCGUGGAACAUGGCAGGCAUUGGCGACAUGCGCUGGCAGCGGGUGGCAAUGGCGGCGCUGCUGGCUCCAAUGGGCCCCAACGAGAGUGGGACCACUCGGGGAUGGUGGAGCUGACAACCUCAAACGUCACAAGUACCUGUCGACACUGCACAUGUGUUCACUCACUUCAUCUGAUAAAGAUUAUUGGUGCCUCUGUGGUCAAUGUCAUGGCAGAAAGCAGCAGCGAGCAUGGCAAAAGCUUCGAGAACUACUGAUCUAGACUGAUGGACUGUCUCCGGUUCUCGCUCGCCAUGCUCACAGGGAAAUGUGCAGGUUUAUGAUUGACAGCGCUCUGGACCUACCAUCAGCAAAGUGAACAUGGUCUGCCCCACAUUGAAUCCGUGCCGCCAGUUGUGGUGAUUUUAAGCAAGACAGAAAUGGGUGGAGCAGUGAGGACCUUCUCCUUGGUCAUGUCCAGCAGUCCAAUGGAGUACCGCUCACAGUUCAGCAGAGAGGAAGUAGAUCUUCCCAGAUACAAGCCUCACGUGGUAGAUGCAGGAGAAGAUUCUAAUACACUCACCAUGGAAAGAGCAGAGAGGUGAGUUUGGUAAGAUUUUGCCACAGUGACGGAAAGGUGGUGAACUUGCAGAGCAUGGACUGCUGGCUACCAGGGGUCGGGGACUAGAUGAAAAAAAUGAAGGGAUUACAAGUACAGAUUGAUAGUUACAGAUCAGUCAUGGGUGCCAGGUGAAAGAAUCCAUUUGGGAGCCAAUCCACUCCAAAGACGUGUGUGCUGUGGGUGAGAGGCAUGGGGAGCGGCAUCUGACUGUUGGCUGAGCUCCCCAGGGGCAGCCUGUGUGGUGUUGUUAGAAGCAUGUGCCCAGAGCAUGGAGGUGUAAGCGAAGGUGUGAACUGUACCUGGCCCAGGGGCUGUGCCCUCCUGGCCCCCCUGUAUUUGCUGUGAGCCAUGUGGACCCCACACAAUGGACUGAUGGACUGCAACUAGCUAAUGCUAUACUGGACCCAACUCCAUCACAGAAAGGAAACUUUGGAUGCUGACUUUGCUUUUAGCUUUGUUGAAUCCCCAGCUACACAUUUUCCAGGACUGGAUUAAAGGAAAUGGGACUUUGGAAACCCAGGGAUGUAAUUCCACGCAGAUAAAAAUCACUCAUCCUCCCGUGUGAGUCUCAGAAAAGUCUCUCAAGAUAUUGUAAAUACUUCAAAUCCCACUAGCAAUGGAGAAAGACCAUCCACAUGGUCUUUAUUCCCUGAUAACAGCAGGCAUGUCAGGCACAUCCUGGCAGCUAACUGCAAAGGGCCCUUUCACCUUGGCCUUUUGCACCUAAUUGAUGGAUAUGACCAGGCAUCUCAGAGAUUAUUAAUCAAGUAACUAAAUUGAUUAAAUUUAAUGACAGCUUUGUUACCACUGAAAAAACCACGUUGAAAAAAAUGAGUUUGACUUUUUGUACUGGGACAUGUUGGCUGAAUAAUCUUCAUUUUCUCACCAAUUAUUUUGUCAUCUUUUGAAUGCAGUCAGAAGAUAAUUGCUACCCAUUUUUUCUGUUUCUGUUUUUCCUUAUCUGUCAGGAUAUGGAUGUAAAUGUCACUUUGUACAAAAGGGAACUGGUUGGAAAUGCUUAAUUUUUAUAAUGGUAAGAGCAUACAUUUAUUGCAUCAGAUCUUCUUUCAAUUAUGGUAAAACAUUUUUCAAUAUUUCCUAGGAGUUAGUGGCUUGUUUGCUGAUGCAUUCAUUAAGGUAACACUAAAUCUGUUACUACAGGUAACCCCAAAUUUCAGCAGCUUAAUCCAAUGAGAGUUUAUUUCUCAUUCACAUAAAAUUAAUCAUUGCUGGGGGUCCCAGGCUGAUGGAGGCUCUACCAGUGGCCAGGUGAGAAAGGAGAGAGAGCCAGGAAAAUUGGAUGGGCAGCUUUCAUGAGCCCUAUCUCCGUGCACACAGCACACAGCACUUUAGUCCACCUUCUAUUGACCAAAACUUAGGCCUAUGGCCUUACAGAGAUGCAGGAAGUGGGGAGGUUCCUUUUGGCCAAUCCCUCUUCCCCAAAAGUGUACAUAAUGGAAGGAGAGUACAAAUUUUUUUUGAUAGAAGGAUGGUUAGCCCCCUCUGCUACAAGGACUAAAUCCUGAGAAAUUAUAUUUUAGAAAGAAUGACUGCUGACCAGGUUUUUUUAAAUAAACGUUUUAUUGAAGCUUACCUAAAAUGACUAAUUUUAUCACAACAAAUUAAAUCAAUAUCUAUUGAUUGAAUCCCUACUAUGUGCAAGUCUUUUUUUAAAUAUAUUUUUAUUGAUUUCAGAGAGGAAGGGAGAGGGA